GCUAGGUAAGGUGCGGCAGACGGGGUGAUACGGAGUGGUGUAGGGGUGUCCGGGUUGAUUGGGGGUAAGGAGCGGGUAGGCGGCUUGGUAUGUCCGCGGUGAAAACGCUAGGAUCAACAGCGGGAAGCAGGUGGAAACCAUCAGGGUAGGGUCCGGAAGAGGAGAGUGGAAUUCCUGGUGUAGCGGUGAAAUGCGCAGAUAUCAGGAAGAACACCCGUGGCUAAGGCGGCUCUCUAGUACGGUACUGACGCUGAGACGCGAAAGCGUGGGGAGCGAACAGGAUUAGAUACCCCGGUAGUC
This 300-nucleotide ribosomal RNA is filed under the name uncultured bacterium. RNAcentral's name for it is "bacterial SSU rRNA". It matches the Rfam family "Bacterial small subunit ribosomal RNA", at positions 491 to 795 of the family's 1533-position model. The record is from RNAcentral.